Molecule: unclassified non-coding RNA, 328 nt
Filed under: soil metagenome
Description: partial contains 5.8S ribosomal RNA, internal transcribed spacer 2, and large subunit ribosomal RNA
Rfam family: 5.8S ribosomal RNA (bases 1-120)
Source: RNAcentral
GAUGAAGAACGCAGCGAAAUGCGAUAAGUAAUGUGAAUUGCAGAAUUCCGUGAAUCAUCGAAUCUUUGAACGCACAUUGCGCCCCCUGGUAUUCCGGGGGGCAUGCCUGUCCGAGCGUCAUUACAACCCUCAAGCUCAGCUUGGUAUUGGGCCCCGCCGACCCGGCGGGCCCUAAAGUCAGUGGCGGUGCCGUCCGGCUCCGAGCGUAGUAAUUCUUCUCGCUCUGGAGGUCCGGUCGUGUGCUCGCCAGCAACCCCCAAUUUUUUUCAGGUUGACCUCGGAUCAGGUAGGGAUACCCGCUGAACUUAAGCAUAUCAAUAAGCGGAGG